Molecule: ribosomal RNA, 254 nt
Filed under: uncultured bacterium
Lineage: Bacteria
Description: partial 16S ribosomal RNA
Rfam family: Bacterial small subunit ribosomal RNA
Source: RNAcentral
UACGUAGGACCCAAGCGUUAUUCGGAUUUACUGGGCGUAAAGAGUUGCGUAGGUGGCAGAGUAAGUUGGGAGUGAAAUUGUGUGGCUCAACCAUACACCCAUUACCAAAACUGCUCAGCUUGAGGGCGAGAGAGGUUACUAGAAUUCCUAGUGUAGGAGUGAAAUCCGUAGAUAUUAGGAGGAAUACCGAUGGCGUAGGCAGGUAACUGGCUCGUCCCUGACACUAAGGCACGAAAGCGUGGGGAGCAAACGGG